This 426-nucleotide unclassified non-coding RNA is filed under the name Aedes albopictus (Asian tiger mosquito). Its description in RNAcentral is "ITS1". Lineage: Eukaryota; Metazoa; Arthropoda; Insecta; Diptera; Culicidae. The record is from RNAcentral.
CUGUACUGGUACUUGUAUCCAAGAGAGCGAAAAACAGAUCGAACGUGCGUCUGAUGCCGCGCGCGGCCCGCCCAACCCCGACAAGGCAAUAUGUCGCGGUGCUGGUGCUGCGCAAGGCAUGGCCAACCUCUAGCACGUUACCCGAGUGUUUGUUUUCCGAGGACGCUGCCGCGAGUUCGCUGAUCGGAGGGAACCGAAAGCUGCGCAAUGUCCGUACGCGUGCCCUACUAGUUAGUGGCGUGCGUACGAUACGGCUUGCACAGACCCCGACCGGUCAGCAGGGCCGAACCCGCGCAGGGCACAUACGUCCGCUUUGGUUUGACAUAGCUAAGUGGCGGGCCGUCACACUGCGGCGUCAGUGGUGGCGGCCGUCCGUCGAAGAACGAGGAAGGAAGUGUUUUAACUCUGUUGCUGUUACUCGAACCC